CCUACGGGGAGCUGCAGUGGGGAAUAUUGCGCAAUGGGCGAAAGCCUGACGCAGCGACGCCGCGUGAGGGAUGAAGGUCUUCGGAUUGUAAACCUCUGUUAGCAGGGAAGAAGGGUGACUGUGUUAAUCAGCAGUGAAUUGACGGUAACUGCAAAGGAAGCACCGGCUAACUCCGUGCCAGCAGCCGCGGUAAUGCGGAGGGUGCGAGCGUUAAUCGGAUUUACUGGGCGUAAAGCGCUCGUAGGCGGUAUGUCAAGUCAAGGGUGAAAUCCCUGCGCUCAACGUGGGCACUGCCUUUGAAACUGGCGAACUUGAGUGUGUGAGAGGAUAGUGGAAUUCCAGGUGUAGGAGUGAAAUCCGUAGAUAUAUGGAGGAACAUCAGUGGCGAAGGCGACUAUCUGGCACAUAACUGACGCUGAGGAGCGAAAGCGUGGGUAGCAAACAGGAUUAGAUACCCCUGUAGUC
RNAcentral lists this ribosomal RNA (465 nucleotides) under uncultured bacterium. RNAcentral describes it as "partial 16S ribosomal RNA". It matches the Rfam family "Bacterial small subunit ribosomal RNA", at positions 338 to 795 of the family's 1533-position model. The record is from RNAcentral.